This 103-nucleotide microRNA precursor is filed under the name Marmota monax (woodchuck). The record is from RNAcentral. Lineage: Eukaryota; Metazoa; Chordata; Mammalia; Rodentia; Sciuridae.
AGUGGGAUAGCUGGGUCAAAUGGUGGGUUCAUUCCAAGUUUUCUGAGGAAUCUCCAUACUGUUUUCCAAAGUGGUUGCACCAAUUCACAGUCCCACCAGCAAU